Molecule: small RNA, 30 nt
Filed under: Bombyx mori (domestic silkworm)
Lineage: Eukaryota; Metazoa; Arthropoda; Insecta; Lepidoptera; Bombycidae
Description: ovarian small RNA-16256
Source: RNAcentral
GCAAGGAUGAUGGGAGUCACCAUUCCUCAA